GACGAACGCUGGCGGCGUGCUUAACACAUGCAAGUCGAACGGAAAGGCCCUGCUUUUGUGGGGUGCUCGAGUGGCGCACGGGUGAGUAACACGUGAGUAACCUGCCCUUGACUUUGGGAUAACUUCAGGAAACUGGGGCUCAUACCGGAUAGGAGCUCCUGCUGCAUGGUGGGGGUUGGAAAGUUUCGGCGGUUGGGGAUGGACUCGCGGCUUAUCAGCUUGUUGGUGGGGUAGUGGCUUACCAAGGCUUUGACGGGUAGCCGGCCUGAGAGGGUGACCGGCCACAUUGGGACUGAGAUACGGCCCAGACUCCUACGGGAGGCAGCAGUGGGGAAUAUUGCACAAUGGGCGGAAGCCUGAUGCAGCAACGCCGCGUGCGGGAUGACGGCCUUCGGGUUGUAAACCGCUUUCGCCUGUGACGAAGCGUGAUUGACGGUAAUGGGUAAAGAAGCACCGGCUAACUACGUG
Molecule: ribosomal RNA, 468 nt
Filed under: uncultured bacterium
Lineage: Bacteria
Description: partial 16S ribosomal RNA
Rfam family: Bacterial small subunit ribosomal RNA
Source: RNAcentral